RNAcentral lists this long non-coding RNA (480 nucleotides) under Monodelphis domestica (gray short-tailed opossum). Its description in RNAcentral is "lncRNA (ENSMODG00000044484.1)". The record is from RNAcentral. Lineage: Eukaryota; Metazoa; Chordata; Mammalia; Didelphimorphia; Didelphidae.
CAGCUAGUUAUCUGGUGCAGGACUAGAGUUCAAAUCUUCCUGGUUCUAGAUUCAAGGUACUAUCCAUUGUUCUACAUUGCCUCUAAAUUCCAAGAAUCACAGAACUAGGAAACAUGAGAGGUAGGAUUUAGAUUCAAAUCAUUCUCUCUCCCAGGUCAGAAAUGUUUCCCCAACUUCAGGUAGCCUCUCCACACAGAAAAGGAUUGUUUUAUCGUGCUAUUUACCAAUUUUAGCAAUAAUAACAGAACUAAUAAUAGCUAAUAAUUAUAUUUUGUCAUUCCAUCAUGUCUGACUCUUCACGACCCCAUGACCUUGUCUAUGGGGCUUCCCUGGCAAAGAUACUGGAGUGAUUUGCCAUUUCCUUAUCCAGAGUGUCCCCAUUUUAAAGAGGAGAUACUGAGGCAAACAAGGGGGAAAUCAGUGAAGGAUUCAACCCUCAAAGAGGUGGAGGGUCACAGUAUAAGCUAUCUUACCAUCUAA